UCCUGUGUAGCUCAAUGGGUAAAGAAUCUGCCUGUAAUGCAGGAGACCUGGGUUCCAUCCCCAGGUCAGGAA
Molecule: transfer RNA, 72 nt
Filed under: Bos taurus (domestic cattle)
Lineage: Eukaryota; Metazoa; Chordata; Mammalia; Artiodactyla; Bovidae
Also listed under: 3 other names
Rfam family: tRNA
About the family: Transfer RNA (tRNA) molecules are approximately 80 nucleotides in length. Their secondary structure includes four short double-helical elements and three loops (D, anti-codon, and T loops).
Source: Rfam by way of RNAcentral